Molecule: ribosomal RNA, 497 nt
Filed under: uncultured bacterium
Lineage: Bacteria
Description: partial 16S ribosomal RNA
Rfam family: Bacterial small subunit ribosomal RNA
Source: RNAcentral
GAUGAACGCUGGCGGCGUGCCUAAUACAUGCAAGUCGAGCGAACGGACGAGAAGCUUGCUUCUCUGAUGUUAGCGGCGGACGGGUGAGUAACACGUGGAUAACCUACCUAUAAGACUGGGAUAACUUCGGGAAACCGGAGCUAAUACCGGAUAAUAUUUUGAACCGCAUGGUUCAAAAGUGAAAGACGGUCUUGCUGUCACUUAUAGAUGGAUCCGCGCUGCAUUAGCUAGUUGGUAAGGUAACGGCUUACCAAGGCAACGAUGCAUAGCCGACCUGCGAGGGUGAUCGGCCACACUGGAACUGAGACACGGUCCAGACUCCUACGGGAGGCAGCAGUAGGGAAUCUUACGCAAUGGGCGAAAGCCUGACGGAGCAACGCCGCGUGAGUGAUGAAGGUCUUCGGAUCGUAAAACUCUGUUAUUAGGGAAGAACAUAUGUGUAAGUAACUGUGCACAUCUUGACGGUACCUAAUCAGAAAGCCACGGCUAACUACGUG